GAUGAACGCUGGCGGCGUGCCUAAUACAUGCAAGUCGAGCGAACAGACGAGGAGCUUGCUCCUCUGACGUUAGCGGCGGACGGGUGAGUAACACGUGGAUAACCUACCUAUAAGACUGGGAUAACUUCGGGAAACCGGAGCUAAUACCGGAUAAUAUAUUGAACCGCAUGGUUCAAUAGUGAAAGACGGUUUUGCUGUCACUUAUAGAUGGAUCCGCGCCGCAUUAGCUAGUUGUUAAGGUAACGGCUUACCAAGGCAACGAUGCGUAGCCGACCUGAGAGGGUGAUCGGCCACACGGGAACUGAGACACGGUCCAGACUCCUACGGGAGGCAGCAGUAGGGAAUCUUCCGCAAUGGGCGAAAGCUUGACGGAGCAACGCCGCGUGAGUGAUGAAGGUCUUCGGAUCGUAAAACUCUGUUAUUAGGGAAGAACAAAUGUGUAAGUAACUAUGCACGUCUUGACGGUACCUAAUCAGAAAGCCACGGCUAACUACGUG
This 497-nucleotide ribosomal RNA is filed under the name uncultured bacterium. RNAcentral describes it as "partial 16S ribosomal RNA". It matches the Rfam family "Bacterial small subunit ribosomal RNA", at positions 28 to 507 of the family's 1533-position model. The record is from RNAcentral.